GCAACUCGCCUGCAUGAAGCUGGAAUUGCUAGUAAUCGCGGAUCAGCAAGCCGCGGUGAAUACGUUCCCGGGCCUUGUACACACCGCCCGUCACACCAUGAGAGUCGGGAACACCCGAAGUCCGUAGUCUAACCGCAGGGGGGGCGCGGCCGAAGGUGGGUCCGGUAAUUGGGGUGAAGUCGUAACAAGGUAAC
RNAcentral lists this ribosomal RNA (194 nucleotides) under uncultured bacterium. Its description in RNAcentral is "partial 16S ribosomal RNA". It matches the Rfam family "Bacterial small subunit ribosomal RNA", at positions 1307 to 1500 of the family's 1533-position model. The record is from RNAcentral.